RNAcentral lists this ribosomal RNA (253 nucleotides) under uncultured bacterium. Its description in RNAcentral is "partial 16S ribosomal RNA". It matches the Rfam family "Bacterial small subunit ribosomal RNA", at positions 524 to 776 of the family's 1533-position model. The record is from RNAcentral.
UACGUAGGGUGCGAGCGUUGUCCGGAAUUAUUGGGCGUAAAGGGCUCGUAGGCGGUCUGUCGCGUCGAAAGUGAAAACCCAGGGCUUAACCCUGGGCCUGCUUCCGAUACGGGCAGACUAGAGGUAUGCAGGGGAGAACGGAAUUCCUGGUGUAGCGGUGAAAUGCGUAGAGAUCGGGAAGAACAUCAGUGGCGAAGGCGGCCUGCUGGGCUGUUGCUGACACUGAGGCGCGACAGCGUGGGGAGCAAACAGG